UACGUAGGGGGCAAGCGUUAUCCGGAUUUACUGGGUGUAAAGGGAGCGUAGGCGGAUCGGUAAGUCUGAUGUGAAAGCCCGGGGCUCAACCCCGGGACUGCAUUGGAAACUACCGAACUAGAGUGUGGGAGAGGUAAGUGGAAUUCCUAGUGUAGCGGUGAAAUGCGUAGAUAUUAGGAGGAACACCAGUGGCGAAGGCGGCUUACUGGACCAUAACUGACGAUGAGGCUCGAAAGCGUGGGGAGCAAACAGG
This 253-nucleotide ribosomal RNA is filed under the name uncultured bacterium. Its description in RNAcentral is "partial 16S ribosomal RNA". It matches the Rfam family "Bacterial small subunit ribosomal RNA", at positions 524 to 776 of the family's 1533-position model. The record is from RNAcentral.